Molecule: RNA transcript, 3164 nt
Organism: Glycine soja
Lineage: Eukaryota; Viridiplantae; Streptophyta; Magnoliopsida; Fabales; Fabaceae
Gene name: AT-hook motif nuclear-localized protein 15-like
Exons: 3
Source: RefSeq, a predicted model, not a curated record
UCAUCCCCUCAAAACUCAAAACUCAAAACUCUUUUUUCCUUGUACAUCUCGCGCAACUUGCUGUCGUUUUGAACGAAGAAGCUUUGGUUUUUUCUAAUCCAACUCAGGUUUUUUUCACGCAACAACAGGGGAGUUUAGAUCUACAAGUUAAUUUACGAGAUGAAAUUUGUUUAAGUUUAUUUUUAUCUCCAGACCUAAAAGUUAGGUUUUUCCCAAUAUUAGGCGCAAGUUGGUGUUGUUGUUUUGAAGGGAGAAGCUGGCAUGAGUGAGUGAGUAGGUGACACAACAGCAACAAGUGGAUGGAGCUAUGCUUGCUUGGGAAGUUGAAAACUUUGAACACAACACAAGAACCGCUUACCAGGGAGACAACCCAAUACCACUCCACUCCCCCAUAUACAAAUACCGCUUUCUUCUCUCUAUCUUCCCUUCCUGCCAUUAAAUAAAUAUAUGCAAUACUCUUUCAUACUACACAGAUAAACAAGAACCAUUUAUUACUAACAUCAUCAUCAUCAGCAUCAUCUUCAGCCCAUAAAAGUAAAAAACAAAACACUGGGCCUGGGGACCCCGCUCACUCUCAAGGUAUAAUUAAUAAGGAUGGAGUUUGAAAUGGUCCGGGGAAUAAGAUUGGAGCUGUGUGCUGGAAUUUGUGGUAAGCAAAAACGUUGUUGUUUUGACUCUUCCAAUUGAGUAACAUUUAGUACUUCAUUGAGUGCGAGAAAAAAAAAAUGGCAUUAAUUUUGGACAGUUUUCGCAUUGAAUAUUUUUGCACUUGGUACAUUGACAUGGAACAACUUUUUUCUUCUAGAGAGGGGAAGGGGUGAUGGUGAUUCGGUUGGUUCAUCUCCCUUUCCCUGAAUGAGUCACUGAUCUUGCCGUUUGGACUUCAUACUGCUUAAAUUUAAGUCGACAUUAUUUUGCGUCAUCUAUAUGGUGUCAAAAAAGGUUGUCGGGUGUAGUUCUCCCCAUUGUUUUAGAUUUCUAGGUUUUGCUUUUUAGUAUUUUCUAGGAAUAUAACCUGCACCUAUUAAAUUUGGACCCCAUGGUCGAUAUUAUUGGUUAUGGUCUUGGCCUUUUGGUCUAUUGCUUAGAAACUCAUCUAGCUAGCCAACAUCUUUUAAUCAAUUUUUAAGUUGAUCGAGAUUAUAGGUAUUGAUCGAUGGACAUGAAGUAUGGGAGGGGUGGCAUAAUGUUGUCCUCUAAAUUUUUAAUUGUUUGGUAUUGGAUCAAGGGUGGUCGACAUCUUGGACUCCUGAGAUGGAAAUUGUUGUUCAGCAUAUAUUUUAUGUAGCUUUUAUCUACAUGAUUUUCAAAUGCAAGUGACUAUACUCGGUGAGUUACAAUAAAUUUUAGGCUGAGGGGAUGAUAACACACCCAUAUAAUCCUGUGGGAACAAUUAUACACAUAUAUACUCACAUAAUACUUGUAACAUUAAGAAAAUAAAAUAAAAUAACUGCCACCCAUUAGCCAAUAUAAAGGUCCCUGACUAUGGAUCAAUUAACUGCGAACGAAAUUGCGUUCCAUCUUAUCACUGGAAAUGUGUAUAUCUGUAAUAAAGCUUGGUCAAGGAAGAUAUUACAAUGAUGAAAAUAACGAUUUUACUAAAAACAAGAUCAGUUUUAAAUAUUGCAUAUUUGAGCUUGUAGUAUCUUAGGUUUUCUGCUUGAAUGUAGCAUAUGCUGUCGUAAGGUUGAAUAUGUGUUUAUAUAGCUAGUAGCUGCGGUUCAAUUAACUAGUGCUUUUCUUUGUCUCUGACUUACACAACUUGCUUGUUAUUGUUGUUAAAUAAUUUAUUUAUUAUAAUUAUAGACUUACACUGUUACACAUAUAGGAAAUAGGAUUGUGGUCGAAGUAAUUUAUCCACAUUUAAAACUAGUUUAUUUUAACCGAAAAAAAAAAACCAAGUUCAUGUUGUGUCUGGGUUCAAUCCAUAGAUGCACACAGGCUUGACACUCGUCCCUGGGGUGGCAACCCUUAAAAUGAAACACCUGGCAUGACAUGCUAGAAAACUGGAGAUAAGAGUAAGAUAAUGACUCUGACAGAAUAGUGUGGGAGCUUGCCCUCUUGCUGAAUCAAACACCUGGCUUGUAGAAAACUUGAGAUAAUGCCUCUGACAAAAGAUUUUCGUUUUUAUAUGAAUUAUUGUAGAUUAUUUUAUAAAGAAAUUAAAAGUUUUUAUUGUUAAAAUUUUACACUUAAUCCAUUAAAACCUGUUUAUAUGAAUUGAUCGUGUCAAUUAUUUCGAUAUUUCGUACUAUGUACUAGUAGUAUCUAUAUGAUGUAAGUCGCCAUUGGGAAUUGAAUUACUGUUAAUACAUUUUUUUGGGUGAUAUAAGUCCUAAUAAAAUGGGAAUGAUUAGGAUUGAAAGGUGAAAGAGAAAUGAAAAAAGAGGAAAGUAAAAAAAAAAAAACAUUAUAAGUGAUGAAAAAAAUGAUAAAUAUAAUGUGAUAUGAAAUAGAGAGAUAUUUGAAGAAAAUGAAAUGAAAAUAAAAUAAAAAAGAAAGUGAACAAUUCUUUUUUUUUUUUUGUAAAAUAUGUGAUUUUAACGUUAUAUAUGUUUUUUUAUGUAUAAAAAUAUUUAUUAUCUUGGUGUUUAGUUACUUUGGUUAGUUGGGUGAGAGACAGAAAACUCAAACGAUCAAUUAAGAUACUUUCUUACAAGUACAUAUGAAUCAGUUGUGAAGUGUUAUAAUUGUUGAGCUUUGGCUUUAAGUAUGGAGAGACUUAUGAAAUAAUAUAUGUAGGUUGGUAGAACCUACGAAGGUCAAAAUAUCGAAUUGAGAAUUUGUAGAGGUAAAAUAUACUAACUGUGUGACUUGCAAUGGUGAGAAUACUAGAUGUAGAAUUUGCAGAGGUGAUAAUACUCGGUGUUAACCUACAAAGAUGAGAAUAUUGAGUGAUGUGCAGCCUACAAAGGCUAGUGUGAAAGCCUCUGAAGGCUUAAGGAUUACUAAUACCCAUGUAAUUGAUUUGUUUUGUAGUGAAAAUCCUGGGAGAUAAGAUCUGAAUGUUACCUGAAGAUGAGAGUGAAUCAAUUUAAAAAUAUUUGUGUAGUAUAUCCUUUCCUACUUUUUUCUUAUCUAUUUACUUUAUAGUUUAUAACUUGGAUAUUUCUUUUGUAACAUGAAAAGAUUUUAAUAUGAAUUGAACUCAGUAUUAUAAUUAA